RNAcentral lists this ribosomal RNA (254 nucleotides) under uncultured bacterium. RNAcentral describes it as "partial 16S ribosomal RNA". It matches the Rfam family "Bacterial small subunit ribosomal RNA", at positions 524 to 776 of the family's 1533-position model. The record is from RNAcentral.
UACAGAGGGUGCAAGCGUUAAUCGGAGUUACUGGGCGUAAAGGGCGCGUAGGCGGAUAGUUAAGUUGGAUGUGAAAGCCCUGGGCUUAACCUAGGAAUUGCAUACAAAACUGGUUAUCUGGAGUACUGUAGAGGGUAGUGGAAUUUCCGGUGUAGCGGUGAAAUGCGUAGAGAUCGGAAGGAACACCAGUGGCGAAGGCGGCUACCUGGACAGAUACUGACGCUGAGGCGCGAGAGCGUGGGGGAGCAAACAGG